UGCAUUUGAGAGAGGCACGUGCUUGCAACCA
RNAcentral lists this non-coding RNA (31 nucleotides) under Mus musculus (house mouse). The record is from RNAcentral. Lineage: Eukaryota; Metazoa; Chordata; Mammalia; Rodentia; Muridae.